GAUGAACGCUGGCGGCGUGCCUAAUACAUGCAAGUCGAGCGGUAAGGCCUCUUCGGAGGUACACGAGCGGCGGACGGCUGAGUAACGCGUAGGAACGUACCCCAAAGUGAGGGAUAAGCACCAGAAAUGGUGUCUAAUACCGCAUGUGAUCUAAGGAUUAAAGCUUCGGCGCUUUGGGAACGGCCUGCGUUCGAUUAGCUAGUUGGUGAGGUAAAAGCUUACCAAGGCGACGAUCGAUAGCUGGUCUGAGAGGAUGAUCAGCCAGACUGGGACUGAGACACGGCCCAGACUCCUACGGGAGGCAGCAGUAGGGAAUUUUCCACAAUGGGCGAAAGCCUGAUGGGGCAACGCCGCGUGCAGGAUGAAUGCCUUCGGGUUGUAAACUGCUUUUAUAUGUGACGAUUAUGACGGUAGCAUAUGAAUAAGGAUCGGCUAACUCCGUGCCAGCAGCCGCCGCCG
This 459-nucleotide ribosomal RNA is filed under the name uncultured bacterium. Its description in RNAcentral is "partial 16S ribosomal RNA". It matches the Rfam family "Bacterial small subunit ribosomal RNA", at positions 28 to 523 of the family's 1533-position model. The record is from RNAcentral.